This 253-nucleotide ribosomal RNA is filed under the name uncultured bacterium. RNAcentral describes it as "partial 16S ribosomal RNA". It matches the Rfam family "Bacterial small subunit ribosomal RNA", at positions 524 to 776 of the family's 1533-position model. The record is from RNAcentral.
UACGUAGGGGGCGAGCGUUGUCCGAAUUUACUGGGCGUAAAGCGCGCGUAGGCGGGUUUUUAAGUUGUGGGGGAAAUGCCGGGGCUCAACUCCGGAACUGCCUGAAAAACUGGGAGCCUUGAGGUAUGGAGAGGGAAGUGGAAUUCCUGGUGUAGCGGCGAAAUGCGUAGAUAUCAGGAGGAACACCCGUGGCGAAGGCUGCUUCCUGGCCAUAUCCUGACGCUGAGGCGCGAACGCUAGGGGAGCGAGCGGG